RNAcentral lists this ribosomal RNA (417 nucleotides) under Triticum aestivum (bread wheat). RNAcentral describes it as "partial small subunit ribosomal RNA". The record is from RNAcentral. Lineage: Eukaryota; Viridiplantae; Streptophyta; Magnoliopsida; Poales; Poaceae.
AUGGAUGAGGUCACAAGGGAUAUACAAGGAGAUAUCCCAUGGUGUAUGCUCUUUGCGGAUGAUGUGGUGCUAGUUGACGAUAGUCGGACGGGGGUAAAUGGGAAGUUAGAGUUAUGGAGACAAACCUUGGAAUCGAAAGGGUUUAGGCUUAGUAGAACUAAAACCGAGUACAUGAUGUGCAGUUUCAGUACUACUAGGUGUGAGGAGGAGGAGGUUAGCCUUGAUGGCAAGGUGGUACCUCGGAAGGACACCUUUCGGUAUUUGGGGUCAAUGUUGCAGGAGGAUGGGGGUAUUGAUGAAGAUGUGAACCAUCGAAUCAAAGUCGGAUGGAUGAAGUGGCGCCAAGCUUCUGGCAUUUUCUGUGACAAGAGAGUGCCACAAAAGCUAAAAGGCAAGUUCUACAGGACGGCGGUUUGA